GGAGAUAUAAGACGCUUCAUCACCGUUAGCACGUUAGGUCUAUUGGAUUAUCGAGUUGGAUUCCUCAAGUGCAGUAUUUGCUUGGCUUGAAAAUGAAGUGGGUUGCAGACCAUGCAUGGAGAAUGAAGAACACUUUCGAUGCAGUUGCUUUGCUGUCUAGUUACAGGCCCUGGACUCAGCUAGUUAUAUCCAUGUAAUUAAUUAUAUUACUAAUGAGCACUUUGCUUUUGUUACUCUAUUAUCUUAGCCAGUACC
RNAcentral lists this long non-coding RNA (255 nucleotides) under Populus trichocarpa (black cottonwood). RNAcentral describes it as "long non-coding RNA (PTRI_LNC003568)". Lineage: Eukaryota; Viridiplantae; Streptophyta; Magnoliopsida; Malpighiales; Salicaceae. The record is from RNAcentral.